Molecule: transfer RNA, 90 nt
Filed under: Alphaproteobacteria bacterium
Lineage: Bacteria; Pseudomonadati; Pseudomonadota; Alphaproteobacteria
Description: tRNA-Ser
Rfam family: tRNA
About the family: Transfer RNA (tRNA) molecules are approximately 80 nucleotides in length. Their secondary structure includes four short double-helical elements and three loops (D, anti-codon, and T loops). Further hydrogen bonds mediate the characteristic L-shaped molecular structure. tRNAs have two regions of fundamental functional importance: the anti-codon, which is responsible for specific mRNA codon recognition, and the 3' end, to which the tRNAs corresponding amino acid is attached (by aminoacyl-tRNA synthetases). tRNAs cope with the degeneracy of the genetic code in two manners: having more than one tRNA (with a specific anti-codon) for a particular amino acid; and 'wobble' base-pairing, i.e. permitting non-standard base-pairing at the 3rd anti-codon position.
Source: RNAcentral
GGAUGGGUGGCCGAGUGGUUGAUGGCACCGGUCUUGAAAACCGGCAUGGCGGCAACGUCAUCGUGGGUUCGAAUCCCACCCCAUCCGCCA